AUUAGCCCUGGCCAGUGGACCCACAAUGUCAACAGCUAUGCGGGAAAAGGGCUCCCCUAUAGUAGGCAUCGAUAAUAACCUAGCCUUAGGGUGGUCCCCCCGCUUUCCUACCCGUUGACAUGUGUCGCACGUACUGCAAUACAUCCGCACAGCCUGGUUAAAGUUGGGCAAAAAGAAAUUCUGUGAGAUCCUAUAGGCUGUGCGACGGGACCCUAGAUGUCCAGCUAAUGGAACAUCAUGCCCUAUCCGCAGAAUCUCCUGCCGGUAUUUUGCAGGUACCACUAGCUGUCGAUUCGGUGGAGGGGCUACACUCUUCUGGGAAGGCUUCAGGAUCCUAUAUAGCCUGUCCCCCACCCACUCAUACCGCUCCC
This is a non-coding RNA of Pelobates cultripes (western spadefoot toad), 371 nucleotides long. The record is from the annotation of a GenBank genome assembly. Lineage: Eukaryota; Metazoa; Chordata; Amphibia; Anura; Pelobatidae.